UGAGCCUACGGGGGGCAACAGUAGGGAAUCUUCGGCAAUGGGGGCAACCCUGACCGAGCAACGCCGCGUGAGUGAAGAAGGUUUUCGGAUCGUAAAGCUCUGUUGUAAGAGAAGAACGUGUGUGAGAGUGGAAAGUUCACACAGUGACGGUAACUUACCAGAAAGGGACGGCUAACUACGUGCCAGCAGCCGCGGUAAUACGUAGGUCCCGAGCGUUGUCCGGAUUUAUUGGGCGUAAAGCGAGCGCAGGUGGUUUAUUAAGUCUGGUGUAAAAGGCAGUGGCUCAACCAUUGUAUGCAUUGGAA
RNAcentral lists this ribosomal RNA (305 nucleotides) under uncultured bacterium. Its description in RNAcentral is "bacterial SSU rRNA". It matches the Rfam family "Bacterial small subunit ribosomal RNA", at positions 334 to 631 of the family's 1533-position model. The record is from RNAcentral.